RNAcentral lists this ribosomal RNA (439 nucleotides) under uncultured bacterium. RNAcentral describes it as "partial 16S ribosomal RNA". It matches the Rfam family "Bacterial small subunit ribosomal RNA", at positions 338 to 795 of the family's 1533-position model. The record is from RNAcentral.
ACUACGGGCGGCAGCAGUGGGGGAUAUUGCACAAUGGGCGAAAGCCUGAUGCAGCGACGCCGCGUGAGGGAAGACGGUCUUCGGAUUGUAAACCUCUGUCUGUGGGGAAGAAAAUGACGGUACCCAAAGAGGAAGCGCCGGCUAACGACGUGCCAGCAGCCGCGGUAAUACGUAGGGAGCAAGCGUUGUCCGGUAUUACUGGGUGUAACGGGAGCGUAGGCGGGAGGGCAAGACGAAUGUUAAAUCCAUCGGCUCAACCGGUGGCUGCGUUCUAAACUGCGGUUCUUGAGUGCAGUAGAGGCAGGCGGAAUUCCUAGUGUAGCGGUGAAAUGCGUAGAUAUUAGGCGGAACACCAGUGGCGACGGCGGCCUGCUGGGCUUUACCUGACGCUGAGGCUCGAAAGCGUGGGGAGCAAACAGGAUUAGAUACCCCUGUAGUC